Molecule: ribosomal RNA, 423 nt
Filed under: uncultured bacterium
Lineage: Bacteria
Description: bacterial SSU rRNA
Rfam family: Bacterial small subunit ribosomal RNA
Source: RNAcentral
ACGCUCGACAGUGCCAGCAGCCGCGGUAAUACGUAGGUGGCAAGCGUUGUCCGGAAUUAUUGGGCGUAAAGCGCGCGCAGGCGGUCCCUUAAGUCUGAUGUGAAAGCCCCCGGCUUAACCGGGGAGGGUCAUUGGAAACUGGGGGACUUGAGUGCAGAAGAGAAGAGCGGAAUUCCAUGUGUAGCGGUGAAAUGCGCAGAGAUAUGGAGGAACACCAGUGGCGAAGGCGGCUCUUUGGUCUGUAACUGACGCUGAGGCGCGAAAGCGUGGGGAGCAAACAGGAUUAGAUACCCUGGUAGUCCACGCCGUAAACGAUGAGUGCUAAGUGUUAGAGGGGUUAACCCUUUAGUGCUGCAGCUAACGCGUUAAGCACUCCGCCUGGGGAGUACGGCCGCAAGGCUGAAACUCAAAGGAAUUGACGGG